CGUGUUCCUCAGCUUGUCCCUUUCUCCAAACUGUUACUGGGAGGGAUACCUGCUUCUCAAGAGAGAAGAAGAACUAUGUAUCCCAGAGGACCUCAUGGUCAGAGAAGGAAGAUAUGUCACGGAAGUCACGGGAUCUCUCUCUCGCUCUCUCUCCUGGCAGAGGGUGUGGGUGUGCUUCCAAGCUGUGCACCUUCAUUCGAGUAGGCCUUUUGGUUUUGGAAACUUUCUCUCUCAUUUUAUUUAUUAGCCUCAGUUUCAAUUAGAUUGUAUUAUAUUGUGUUAUCUUGCAUUCUGAUAUCAUAUUAAAAUAAGUUUUCC
This 318-nucleotide long non-coding RNA is filed under the name Gallus gallus (chicken). The record is from RNAcentral. Lineage: Eukaryota; Metazoa; Chordata; Aves; Galliformes; Phasianidae.